CACCCUAAUUACAACUGGACGAUUCAUUGCAAAACUAUAUACCCCGACGCUAUAUCUACCAGUAUCAUUGUGAAAUUUCUAUAUGAACCGAAUAGCUUAUUGCAGUCAUUUUCAACAGCGGUCAAUAGACCAAAUCUGACAAAUGCGAUUCUGUACGAAAUAAAAACCAAUGAGAGCGGCUAUGUAUGUGACAUCAGUACGAACAUCACCGUCAAGGAGGGACCGUUAAUGAUCAAAGUUUCAGGGCAUUACGAUGUAAUAGAUCAUUUUUGGUGCCAAAAUAUUGAGCAUGAAGAAGGUGGAAACCCUAACGUAUUUUUAACAAAAGCAAAUUUUUCUGAAUACGAAAAUCCAAAUGAAGCCAUAG
Long non-coding RNA from Hyposmocoma kahamanoa, 367 nucleotides. RefSeq lists it as uncharacterized. NCBI's taxonomy places the organism in Eukaryota, Metazoa, Arthropoda, Insecta, Lepidoptera, Cosmopterigidae. The transcript has 3 exons. The record is from RefSeq and is a predicted model, not a curated record.